RNAcentral lists this ribosomal RNA (363 nucleotides) under Triticum aestivum (bread wheat). RNAcentral describes it as "partial small subunit ribosomal RNA". Lineage: Eukaryota; Viridiplantae; Streptophyta; Magnoliopsida; Poales; Poaceae. The record is from RNAcentral.
AAGAGGGGGGCGCCGACGCUGGUGUUCAAGCUCGACUUCGCCAUGGCCUUCGACUCCAUUGCCUGGCCUAGUCUUCGCCGGAUCAUGGAGGUGAGGGGGUUCCCUGCUGUGUGGUGUGACUCGAUGGACCUCAUCCUCUCGUCCUCCACUACGGCGGUCCUCCUUAACGGGGUGCCCGGGUGCCGGUUCGCCGUCCGCAAGGGGCUGCGCCAGGGCGACCCCAUAUCCCCGUACCUCUUCCUCCUGGUCGCCGUACCUCUUCCUCCUGGUCGCCGAUGUGCUUCAGCGCAUGAUCCGCUCCGACGACGGACUGCAGCACCCCCUGGUCGAUGGCGCGCCCCCGGUGGUGCUGCAGUAUGCUGA